Molecule: ribosomal RNA, 109 nt
Filed under: Psychrobacillus lasiicapitis
Lineage: Bacteria; Bacillati; Bacillota; Bacilli; Caryophanales; Bacillaceae
Source: RNAcentral
AGUGAUGAUGGCAAAGAGGUCACACCCGUUCCCAUACCGAACACGGAAGUUAAGCUCUUUUGCGCCGAUGGUAGUUGGGGGUUUCCCCCUGUGAGAGUAGGACGUCGCU